This 77-nucleotide transfer RNA is filed under the name Candidatus Omnitrophota bacterium. Its description in RNAcentral is "Candidatus Omnitrophica bacterium tRNA-Glu". It matches the Rfam family "tRNA". Rfam says of the family: Transfer RNA (tRNA) molecules are approximately 80 nucleotides in length. Their secondary structure includes four short double-helical elements and three loops (D, anti-codon, and T loops). RNAcentral also lists the same sequence under 1 other name. The record is from RNAcentral. Lineage: Bacteria; Pseudomonadati; Candidatus Omnitrophota.
GUCCCCAUCGUCUAGCCCGGUCAGGACACCAGAUUUUCAUUCUGGCGACAGGGGUUCGAAUCCCCUUGGGGAUGCCA